Molecule: ribosomal RNA, 398 nt
Filed under: Acanthamoeba lenticulata
Lineage: Eukaryota; Discosea; Longamoebia; Acanthamoebidae
Description: SSU rRNA
Rfam family: Eukaryotic small subunit ribosomal RNA
Source: RNAcentral
GAAUCAGCGAUAACGCUGGGUAGAUAAUUUUCCUGCGACCGAAUACAUUAGCAUGGGAUAAUGGAAUAGGACCCUGACCUCCUAUUUUCAGUUGGUUUUGUUUACAGCGAGGUUAUAUCAGGGUAAUGAUUAAUAGGGAUAGUUGGGGGCAUUAAUAUUUAAUUGUCAGAGGUGAAAUUCUUGGAUUUAUGAAAGAUUAACUUCUGCGAAAGCGUUUGCCAAGGAUGUUUUCAUUAAUCAAGAACGAAAGUUAGGGGAUCGAAGACGAUCAGAUACCGUCGUAGUCUUAACCAUAAACGAUGCCGACCAGCGAUUAGGAGACGUUGAAUACAAAACACCGCUGUUAAUCCUUUCGGGGGUUAAUAGUUGGUGAAUGACUCCCCUAGCAGCUUGUGAGA